RNAcentral lists this ribosomal RNA (468 nucleotides) under uncultured bacterium. RNAcentral describes it as "partial 16S ribosomal RNA". It matches the Rfam family "Bacterial small subunit ribosomal RNA", at positions 28 to 507 of the family's 1533-position model. The record is from RNAcentral.
GACGAACGCUGGCGGCGUGCUUAACACAUGCAAGUCGAACGGAAAGGCCCUGCUUUUGUGGGGUGCUCGAGUGGCGAACGGGUGAGUAACACGUGAGUAACCUGCCCUUGACUUUGGGAUAACUUCAGGAAACUGGGGCUAAUGCCGGAUAGGAGCUCCUGCUGCAUGGUGGGGGUUGGAAAGUUUCGGCGGUUGGGGAUGGACUCGCGGCUUAUCAGCUUGUUGGUGGGGUAGUGGCUUACCAAGGCUUUGACGGGUAGCCGGCCUGAGAAGGUGACCGGCCACAUUGGGACUGAGAUACGGCCCAGACUCCUACGGGAGGCAGCAGUGGGGAAUAUUGCACAAUGGGCGGAAGCCUGAUGCAGCAACGCCGCGUGCGGGAUGACGGCCUUCGGGUUGUAAACCGCUUUCGCCUGUGACGAAGCGUGAGUGACGGUAAUGGGUAAAGAAGCACCGGCUAACUACGUG